This 301-nucleotide ribosomal RNA is filed under the name uncultured bacterium. RNAcentral's name for it is "partial 16S ribosomal RNA". It matches the Rfam family "Bacterial small subunit ribosomal RNA", at positions 509 to 807 of the family's 1533-position model. The record is from RNAcentral.
CAGUAGCCGCGGUAAUACGAAGGGGGCUAGCGUUGUUCGGAUUUACUGGGCGUAAAGCGCACGUAGGCGGAUCGAUCAGUCAGGGGUGAAAUCCCAGAGCUCAACUCUGGAACUGCCUUUGAUACUGUCGAUCUGGAGUAUGGAAGAGGUGAGUGGAAUUCCGAGUGUAGAGGUGAAAUUCGUAGAUAUUCGGAGGAACACCAGUGGCGAAGGCGGCUCACUGGUCCAUUACUGACGCUGAGGUGCGAAAGCGUGGGGAGCGAACAGGAUUAGAUACCCCUGUAGUCCCUGUCUCUUAUAC